GAUGAACGCUAGCGGCAGGCCUAACACAUGCAAGUCGAACGGUAACAUGAGUAGCAAUACUUGAUGACGAGUGGCGCACGGGUGCGUAACGCGUAUGCAACUUACCUCUAACUGGAGAAUAGCCUUCCGAAAGGAAGAAUAAUACUCCAUAAUAUUACGAUGUGGCAUCACAUUGUUCUUAAAGCUUCGGCGGUUAGAGAUGGGCAUGCGUCUGAUUAGCUAGUUGGUAGUGUAACGGACUACCAAGGCGAUGAUCAGUAGGGGGCGUGAGAGCGUGACCCCCCACACGGGUACUGAGACACGGACCCGACUCCUACGGGAGGCAGCAGUAAGGAAUAUUGGUCAAUGCCCGGAAGGGUGAACCAGCCAUCCCGCGUGAAGGAUGAAGGGGCUCUGCCUUGUAAACUUCUUUUGUAUGGGGCGAAAAAAGGGAGUUUAUCCUCGACUGACGGUACCAUAAGAAUAAGCACCGGCUAACUCCGUGCCAGCAGCCGCGGUAAAGUAGUCG
RNAcentral lists this ribosomal RNA (508 nucleotides) under uncultured bacterium. Its description in RNAcentral is "bacterial SSU rRNA". It matches the Rfam family "Bacterial small subunit ribosomal RNA", at positions 28 to 531 of the family's 1533-position model. The record is from RNAcentral.